AUGGAGAGUUCCCACCGCCUGCUCCUCGUGGCCGGCCUCCUCGCCGCGGUGCUCCCGGCGGUGGCCGCCGUGUUCGGGCCGCAGUUGGGGGCUCCAUGCGAGCCCACCCUGCUGGCGACGCAGAUCGCGCUCUCCUGCGUGCUCGACAUGCCCACCGCGCACUGCUGUGAGCCGGUCGUCGCCGCCGUCGACCUCGGGGGCGGCGUCCCCUGCCUCUGCCGCGUCGCCGCCGAGCCGCAGCUUGUCAUGGCCGGCCUCAACGCCAGCCACCUCCUCACGAUCUACAUCACCUGCGGUGGUCUCCGUCCCGGAGUCGCCCAUCUUGCAGCAGCCUGCGAAGGUACAUGCACCUACGCCGCCUCUCUCUCUCUCUCUCUACCUGA
Molecule: ribosomal RNA, 383 nt
Filed under: Triticum aestivum (bread wheat)
Lineage: Eukaryota; Viridiplantae; Streptophyta; Magnoliopsida; Poales; Poaceae
Description: partial small subunit ribosomal RNA
Source: RNAcentral